CAGGUUUUUGCAGCUCCCACUUCCCAGUGGAAAAGUGCAGGAUUCCCAAAGACUGUUGAGCAAGAGGCUCAAAUUGUCUUCAGAUAGGGUCUAAUCUAGCUAGAACCAUUCGGGAUCCAGGAUGAAGCUGGAUCCAGUUACAGACCUCCCUGAGAAGUGAAGAGAGGUCCAGAUACACCUACAUCUCCAGCUGACACAGUCUCAAGGGCUGAGGAGAUGCUCUACAUUCUUGGGGAUUGGCUCCAGCCUGAGCCCCUGGGAUGCAAGACAGGAUGAGGUUCCAGGGCCCUCCCUCAAGGUGCGGACUUCGUGAGAAAUGGACCCACAACUCAGGAGCCGAAACAGACACACCCAGCCCGGUGACGUCCCCACCAGCCAGUGACCCGCGGCAGCCCACUCUCACUGAGAGGUUCCUGUGUACACGACCCUGUUGGGGAGCACCUGCCGACCAUGGCUGGGGGCUUGCGGAAGUCAAAUUAGGGAAGUGAGAGGAGCACAUGAGAAGUUCUGGAAGCAGGGAAGGAUGGUUGCACACAUUGAGUGAGCGUGGUGGUGGGCAGACUGUAAGAGGAGGCAAAGCUGCGGCUGGGACUUGAAAGGGAAGCAGAAUUCAAUGAGCAAACCAGAGAUGGGAGGGAGAUCUGGGCUUAGAAAAAGAGUGGAGGGACUAUGGACAAGGUGUGCUUGGGAGAGAGUGACUAUUCAGCAGAGCGGGGCUGGGGGUCCUGGGGUGGGGGACAGUGGGAAAUAGAGCAGCAAAAGUGGGUUCACAUCAGCCUUUGGAUGUUCCUGAAAGUCACGUGAGGGGUUUGGGCUGCAUUCAGAGGGGAGCUGUGGAAAAGUUUUGUUAAGGGGGGGGUCAGUAUGUAUUGAGAUCUUAUCGUGUGCCAGGGACUGUGGUAGGAACUGGGGGGCUCAACCAUGGCUAAGACCUGGUCUUUUCCCUUAGAGACUUUCUAGUCUGGGGGACAUGAGGGAUAAGAAACAGAUACAUUCAGUCAUAUAUGCUAAGUGCGGGGGUAGAAAUAUUCCCAGGCUACCGGCAGGUCUCAAGGAGUUAGAAGCUGGAACUGAGAAGAGGCAAGCAGGAUGAGCAGAAGGGCCAGGCCCCUCCAUGGCUGUCGAGGUCAUGGGCUGCCCGCCUGGCUGAAAGCUCCAUGGAAUCUCAGCUGAAAGGGUCAAUCUUACUGCCGCUAGUUAUCUCUUUGAAAUAAAUCUAUUAAUUCCUUUUGUUCUAUAGGAAGAAGAAACUUCCCCCUGGCUUCCCAAAGACCACCACCACUGCUCACACUUUGGAAAUUCUUCUGUCAAUUCAUUUUCAGUUUUUAUUUGGUUUUCACAUUGUUGUAAUCAUACCGUGUUUACAAUUUUGUAUCCCACUGCAUUUAUCAUCCUAGUGUGUAUAUGUUUCUGCAUGUUAAAUUUAUCCUGGUUAUUGCGAAGGUUCAUAUUUUUAUAUAUAUUUACACACAAAGGUCACUUCACUGGUUUUCCCUUUCUUAGCAGCAAACUUUGAAAAUGUUUCUUUUCUUUUCUUUCUCUCUCUCUCCCCCACCUCUACCCUCCCUCCUAUCCUUUCUUUUUCUAAAAAUUUCUAGUUGCCAACUCACUGCCUCCCUUCAUUUCGCAUCUUUUCCAGACUCAUGACCGAACAUCUCUUUCCAAGCUGCAAGGAGCUUUGUUAAGACAUACACCAGAGGAUUGCUCUAAGGUCUAAACUCCCCGAAGUUUUAAGCAAUUUUCUGAAGUCAUCACAAAAACCUCUCCUUAACGACGCCAACCUACAGAUCAUACCAAUCACCAAGGAGAAGCCCAAUCACUACAGCCACCGACCACAACAUAAAUCAACUCGGAGCCCCAAGAGCCUGCUCACCCUCACUCUGUCCUUAGCCCAGGCGGGUUUUUCCAUCACGUGCUUUUCCGGCAACAGGGAGCUGGGGUGCGGGGAACGCUCCGUUCCCUUUCUAAAAACUGGGACCACUUAAAAAUAUCUCCAAGCAAGCAACCAGGAUUCAGAGGAAUGCUGUUCACACCUGCAGGAGCUCAGUGCUGGGUUGCAGGCUCCUGAGUGCCCUCCAACCUGGACUGUGGCCGCGGCCCCACAUGAGCACCACAAGCAGAACCCAGAUGGAGUGGUUGUAUCUUUCACCUGGGUGGAUAACCUAGCCACAGCCCUAACUCCUUCCAAGGCCUGUUAUGAACUGAAUUGUGUCUCCUCUUCACCCGACAUCAUUCAUAUGCCACUGUCCUGACCCCGGUAACUCAGAAUGUGACAGUGUUUGGAGAUGGGGUCUCUAAGGAGGUAAUUUAUGGUUAAAUGAGGUCAUAAAGGUGGGUCCUAAUCCUAUAUGGCUGGUGUUCUUAGCGAAGGAGGGAGAGACCCCAAGGAGUUAAGGCCACGUGAGCACAAGGGGAGAAGGGCAGCCACCUACAAGCCAAGGAGCGAGGCUCUGGGAGAAAUCAACAACCUGACACCUUGAUCUUGGCCUUCUAGACUAUAUUCUGAAAAUAUAAUUCAUUCCCUAAUUUGGGUACUUACUGGACUUGGGAUUUUCUCAAAUACAUGUAAUGAUCCCAUAUCUCAAAAUAGAUCAUGGGUAUCAAACUUUAGUAUGAUUUGCUGACGUAUUUAAAUCUGUUUUUCUUUCUCCCAAAUUACCUGUUCCUGCAGUCAUGCUCUUUUAUUUGUCAAGUAUAGAUUUAAUUAUUGUCGUAUGCAGUGAGUCUCUGCUUUUUAUCAAGUUUCAUUCCUGGAGAGUUUAUGGCAAAGUGAAUGGCCUGAAAGUAGAUUAUAUUUUACCAUAGGAACAACAAUGUAACUGAGAGUUUUAUUCUUGAUUUAACAUCAAAUGAAUUCUAGAUAUGACCAUAAUAUGUCACAAAAGCAAAAACACAGCACUUUUAAACCUCUAGAAUCGAUUGCAAGAGUAAAAUUAACGUUCUG
Non-coding RNA from Leptonychotes weddellii (Weddell seal), 2944 nucleotides. The record is from RefSeq and is a predicted model, not a curated record. Lineage: Eukaryota; Metazoa; Chordata; Mammalia; Carnivora; Phocidae.